Molecule: ribosomal RNA, 446 nt
Filed under: uncultured bacterium
Lineage: Bacteria
Description: SSU rRNA
Rfam family: Bacterial small subunit ribosomal RNA
Source: RNAcentral
UCAUGGGCGAGAGCCUGAACCAGCCAAGCUAGCGUGAAGGAUGACUGCCCUAUNNCCACANUAAACUUNGNAAAAUAAAGGAAUAAAGUCGGGUAUGGAUACNUCUUUGCAUGUACUUUAUGAAUAAGGAUCGGCUAACUCCGUGCCAGCAGCCGCGGUAAUACGGAGGAUCCGAGCGUUAUCCGGAUUUAUUGGGUUUAAAGGGAGCGUAGAUGGAUGUUUAAGUCAGUUGUGAAAGUUUGCGGCUCAACCGUAAAAUUGCAGUUGAUACUGGAUAUCUUGAGUGCAGUUGAGGCAGGCGGAAUUCGUGGUGUAGCGGUGAAAUGCUUAGAUAUCACGAAGAACUCCGAUUGCGAAGGCAGCCUGCUAAGCUGCAACUGACAUUGAGGCUCGAAAGUGUGGGUAUCAAACAGGAUUAGAUACCCUGGUAGUCCAAGGGCGAAUUC